Molecule: ribosomal RNA, 497 nt
Filed under: uncultured bacterium
Lineage: Bacteria
Description: partial 16S ribosomal RNA
Rfam family: Bacterial small subunit ribosomal RNA
Source: RNAcentral
GAUGAACGCUGGCGGCGUGCCUAAUACAUGCAAGUCGAGCGAACAGACGAGGAGCUUGCUCCUCUGACGUUAGCGGCGGACGGGUGAGUAACACGUGGAUAACCUACCUAUAAGACUGGGAUAACUUCGGGAAACCGGAGCUAAUACCGGAUAAUAUAUUGAACCGCAUGGUUCAAUAGUUAAAGACGGUUUUGCUGUCACUUAUAGAUGGAUCCGCGCCGCAGUAGCUAGUUGGUAAGGUAACGGCUUACCAAGGCAACGAUGCGUAGCCGACCUGAGAGGGUGAUCGGCCAAACUGGAACUGAGACACGGUCCAGACUCCUACGGGAGGCAGCAGUAGGGAAUCUUCCGCAAUGGGCGAAAGCCUGACGGAGCAACGCCGCGUGAGUGAUGAAGGUCUUCGGAUCGUAAAACUCUGUUAUUAGGGAAGAACAAAUGUGUAAGUAACUAUGCACGUCUUGACGGUACCUAAUCAGAAAGCCACGGCUAACUACGUG